GGUCAAGCUACAAAGGGCGCAUGGUGAAUGCCUUGGCAUCAGGAGCCGAUGAAGGACGUGAUAAGCUGCGAUAAGCUUCGGGUAGGCGCACAUAGCCAGAGAUCCGAAGAUUUCCGAAUGAGGAAACUCGCAUGGGAAACCCCAUGCAUCAUAUAGUGAAUACAUAGCUAUAUGAAGGUAACCUAGGGAACUGAAACAUCUAAGUACCUAGAGGAAGAGAAAGAAAAAUCGAUUUUCUUAGUAGCGGCGAGCGAAAAGGAAAGAGCCCAAACCAAAGAUUUAUCUUUGGGGUUGCGGACAGAACAUUAACUUAGGAGGCUAUCGUAACAGAACACAACUGGAAAGUUGGACCGUAGAAGGUAAUAGUCCUGUAUGUGAAACGAGAAGACCUAAAGUUCUGAUCCAGAGUACCACGAGACACGAGAAACCUUGUGGGAAGCAGGGAGGACCACCUCCCAAGGCUAAAUACUACCUGAUGACCGAUAGUGAAGCAGUACCGUGAGGGAAAGGUGAAAAGAACCCCGGGAGGGGAGUGAAAUAGAACCUGAAACCGUGUGCCUACAACCGAUCAAAGCCCCAUAUGAGGGUGAUGAUGUGCUUUUUGUAGAACGAGCCAACGAGUUACGGUAUGUAGCAAGGUUAAGUACUUAAGGUACGGAGCCGAAGGGAAACCAAGUCUUAAUAGGGCGACUAGUUGCAUGCUGUAGACCCGAAACCGGGUGACCUAUCCAUGGCCAGGUUGAAACGAGGGUAAAACCUCGCGGAGGACCGAACCACGUUGCUGUUGAAAAAGCAUGGGAUGAGCUGUGGAUAGCGGAGAAAUUCCAAUCGAACUCGGAGAUAGCUGGUUCUCCUCGAAAUAGCUUUAGGGCUAGCGUCGAAUGAUAUGAGUAGUGGAGGUAGAGCACUGAAUGGGCUAGGGGGCAUAGCGCUUACUGAACCUUAUCAAACUCCGAAUGCCACAUACUUUUAAUUCGGCAGUCAGACUACGAAUGAUAAGAUCCGUGGUCAAAAGGGAAACAGCCCAGAUCGUCAGCUAAGGUCCCAAAGUGUAAGUUAAGUGGGAAAGGAUGUGGGAUUUCUAAGACAACUAGGAUGUUGGCUUAGAAGCAGCCACUCAUUGAAAGAGUGCGUAAUAGCUCACUAGUCGAGAGAUCCUGCGCCGAAAAUGUAACGGGGCUAAACUUACCACCGAAGCUACGGGUUCACAC
This 1211-nucleotide ribosomal RNA is filed under the name Eubacterium multiforme. Its description in RNAcentral is "partial 23S ribosomal RNA". It matches the Rfam family "Bacterial large subunit ribosomal RNA", at positions 1 to 1213 of the family's 2925-position model. Lineage: Bacteria; Bacillati; Bacillota; Clostridia; Eubacteriales; Eubacteriaceae. The record is from RNAcentral.